AUUGAACGCUGGCGGCAUGCCUUACACAUGCAAGUCGAACGGCAGCACGGGAGCUUGCUCCUGGUGGCGAGUGGCGAACGGGUGAGUAAUACAUCGGAACGUACCCUGAAGUGGGGGAUAACGUAGCGAAAGUUACGCUAAUACCGCAUAUUCUGUGAGCAGGAAAGAGAGGGAUCGCAAGACCUCUUGCUUUAGGAGCGGCCGAUGUCGGAUUAGCUAGUUGGUGAGGUAAGGGCUCACCAAGGCGAUGAUCCGUAGCGGGUCUGAGAGGAUGAUCCGCCACACUGGGACUGAGACACGGCCCAGACUCCUACGGGAGGCAGCAGUGGGAAUUUUGGACAAUGGGCGCAAGCCUGAUCCAGCCAUGCCGCGUGAGUGAAGAAGGCCUCGG
Molecule: ribosomal RNA, 391 nt
Filed under: uncultured bacterium
Lineage: Bacteria
Description: bacterial SSU rRNA
Rfam family: Bacterial small subunit ribosomal RNA
Source: RNAcentral